This 448-nucleotide ribosomal RNA is filed under the name uncultured bacterium. RNAcentral's name for it is "bacterial SSU rRNA". It matches the Rfam family "Bacterial small subunit ribosomal RNA", at positions 29 to 487 of the family's 1533-position model. The record is from RNAcentral.
AGUGAACGCUGGCGGUGUGCUUAACACAUGCAAGUCGAACGAGAACGGACUAAAGCUUGCUUUAGUUGUCAGCUAAGUGGCGCACGGGUGAGUAAUGUAUAGCUAACCUGCCCUAAAGAGGGGGAUAAUUAAUGGAAACGUUUUGUAAUACCCUAUAUACUUUAUAUACACAAGUGUAUAAAGAAAACUUUCGUGCUUUAGGAUGGGGCUGUAUUGUAUCAGCUUGUUGGUAGUGUAAUGGACUACCAAGGCUAUGACGCAUAACUGGUUUGAGAGGAUGAUCAGUCACACUGGAACUGAGACACGGUCCAGACUCCUACGGGAGGCAGCAGUGGGGAAUAUUGCACAAUGGGGGAAACCCUGAUGCAGCAACACCGCGUGGAGGAUGGACACUUUUCGGAGCGUAAACUCCUUUUAUAUCCCAAGAUAAUGACGGUAGGAUAUGAAU